Transfer RNA from Alligator mississippiensis (American alligator), 66 nucleotides. It matches the Rfam family "tRNA". From Rfam's summary of the family: Transfer RNA (tRNA) molecules are approximately 80 nucleotides in length. Lineage: Eukaryota; Metazoa; Chordata; Crocodylia; Alligatoridae. The record is from Rfam.
UGUGGUUCAGUGGUAGAAUCCUUGUCUACCACACAGGAGACCUGGAUUCAAUUCCCAGACACACAU